GAUGAAGAACGUAGCGAAAUGCGAUACGUAAUGUGAAUUGCAGAAUUCAGUGAAUCAUCGAAUCUUUGAACGCAUAUUGCGCUCUCUGGUAUUCCGGAGAGCAUGCUUGUUUGAGUAUCAGUAAACACCUCAACUUCCAUAUCUUUUUUGAAAUGGGAGUUGGACUUGAGUGAUCCCAACGCUUUUCCUCACCGAAAAGUGGCGGGUUACUUGAAAUGCAGGUGCAGCUGGACUUUUCUCUGAGCUAUAAGCAUAUCUAUUUAGUCUGCCUAAAAAACAGAUUAUUACCUUUGCUGCAGCUAACAUAAAGGAGAUUAGUUCUUGUGCUGACUGAUGCAGGAUUCACAAACACGGCUUCGGCCGACUUUGUAAACUCGAUCUCAAAUCAAGUAAGACUACCCGCUGAACUUAAGCAUAUCAAUAAGCGGAGGA
RNAcentral lists this unclassified non-coding RNA (432 nucleotides) under soil metagenome. RNAcentral describes it as "partial contains 5.8S ribosomal RNA, internal transcribed spacer 2, and large subunit ribosomal RNA". The stretch from base 1 to 120 matches the Rfam family "5.8S ribosomal RNA", at positions 35 to 154 of the family's 154-position model. The record is from RNAcentral.